UACGUAGGUGACCAGCGUUGUCCGGAUUUACUGGGCGUAAAGAGCGCGCAGGCGGUCGUUCAAGUCGAGUGUGAAAGCCCCCGGCUCAACUGGGGAGGGUCAUUCGAUACUGAUCGACUUGAAGGCAGGAGAGGGAAAUGGAAUUCCCGGUGUAGUGGUGAAAUGCGUAGAUAUCGGGAGGAACACCAGUGGCGAAGGCGACUUCCUGGCCUGUUCUUGACGCUGAGGCGCGAAAGCUAGGGGAGCAAACGGG
RNAcentral lists this ribosomal RNA (253 nucleotides) under uncultured bacterium. Its description in RNAcentral is "partial 16S ribosomal RNA". It matches the Rfam family "Bacterial small subunit ribosomal RNA", at positions 524 to 776 of the family's 1533-position model. The record is from RNAcentral.